RNAcentral lists this non-coding RNA (29 nucleotides) under Homo sapiens (human). The record is from RNAcentral. Lineage: Eukaryota; Metazoa; Chordata; Mammalia; Primates; Hominidae.
UCUCCUGAGAGCACCGUCCUGCAUGUGAC